GUUUGAAGUUUUCAGACGAAAUAUUGAAUCCAGUGAUUAUGUUAACAGUUAACUAGAGAUAGUUUAAUGUGUUAAGUUUCUGUAAGGGGGAGGAGCCCCGUUCGAACACGUUUGAGCAGUGAGCGCGCGAUCUUUGAAGAUUCUGGUUGAUGAUGCACGCGAUGGAUUUGGAAAGCAGCAUGUAAUGGUGUUCAUGGAGAUCUAAUUAACGUUACAGGAUUAUGGGCAAGAAUCUCAAGCAUGAAAUCAUUGACCAGAGAAAGUUGGGCAGCUGUUGACAGCUUUCACAACAAAUCAAGACUAAAGAGCCGACUGAUACUAGGUCUCUGAUGCUCAGAGGACUCCCUAUCAUUCAUUUGGCGACAAACCUACAGAUUUCUACAAAGUAUGCUUUGACUCUGAUGACAUUGGAAUCCUCCUCAUUGAGCAUGAAGGUGACAUGCUCUCAUCUUCUCUCCAUCUCAAUCCAACCUCAUUGAAGAUCAUCAUUGAAGGAGAAGUUGUGAUGGACAAUAUUAACGACUUGCCAAAAGCUAUGCGCAUUCUAGAU
Molecule: long non-coding RNA, 550 nt
Filed under: Sinocyclocheilus grahami
Lineage: Eukaryota; Metazoa; Chordata; Actinopteri; Cypriniformes; Cyprinidae
Description: lncRNA (ENSSGRG00000034760.1)
Source: RNAcentral